GAGACCGGCCCGCGGCUACGGCUCUCGCCUCAUAAGCGGAAGGUUCAGGGUUCGAUUCCCGAUCGGUCUCC
This 71-nucleotide transfer RNA is filed under the name Culex quinquefasciatus (southern house mosquito). RNAcentral's name for it is "tRNA-Met". The record is from RNAcentral. Lineage: Eukaryota; Metazoa; Arthropoda; Insecta; Diptera; Culicidae.